This 480-nucleotide ribosomal RNA is filed under the name Triticum aestivum (bread wheat). RNAcentral describes it as "partial small subunit ribosomal RNA". The record is from RNAcentral. Lineage: Eukaryota; Viridiplantae; Streptophyta; Magnoliopsida; Poales; Poaceae.
AUGUGUGAGAUGAAGCACCGCUCCGCCGAGUCCGGCAGGGCUGCUGAAGACCAAGCACCGUGGAAGAAGGACUCCGAGGCAGAGCACAUAGGCGGCAGAGCGCCAACGCACCGCCACCAGACGAACUCCGACCACGCCACCAACCGCCGCCAAGCAACCAAAGCAUCACAUCCACCCCAAGCUCACCACGAACGACACCCCAAAGAGGGUGACGACGCCCGGAGCGCCGCUGUCGCUCGAUCCGGCAAGGAUUUGGGCUUUCGCCCGGCAUACGAGCUGGGUGGAAGGAGGAGGGGAAGGAGGCAACCUGGACGGAGCCUACAAGAAGGGUACGGCGCCCUCGGGCGUCGCCGCCGUCGUGGCCAGCACUGCUGGCCUCGGAUUUCUCCGGAGCCACCUCCCACCUCCAGCAGCCAAAGAGGUACAACUCCGGCGACAAAGGCCGCCCAAAGCAGGACCAUUCGAGGCAGCCCUGGUUGA